RNAcentral lists this ribosomal RNA (344 nucleotides) under uncultured fungus. RNAcentral's name for it is "SSU rRNA". It matches the Rfam family "Eukaryotic small subunit ribosomal RNA", at positions 292 to 636 of the family's 1831-position model. The record is from RNAcentral. Lineage: Eukaryota; Fungi.
GGUUCAUUCAAAUUUCUGCCCUAUCAACUUUCGACGGCUGGGUCUUGGCCAGCCAUGGUGACAACGGGUCAACGGAGGGUAGGGCUCGACCCCGGAGAAGGAGCCUGAGAAACGGCUACUACAUCCAAGGAAGGCAGCAGGCGCGCAAAUUACCCAAUCCCGACCGGGGAGGUAGUGACAAUAAAUACUGAUACAGGGCUCUUCUGGGUCUUGUAAUUGGAAUGAGUACAAUUUAAAUCCCUUAACGAGGAACAAUUGGAGGGCAAGUCUGGUGCCAGCAGCCGCGGUAAUUCCAGCUCCAAUAGCGUAUAUCAAAGUCGUCACGGUUAAAAAGCUCGUAGUUG